Molecule: ribosomal RNA, 2047 nt
Filed under: uncultured Collinsella sp.
Lineage: Bacteria; Bacillati; Actinomycetota; Coriobacteriia; Coriobacteriales; Coriobacteriaceae
Description: bacterial LSU rRNA
Rfam family: Bacterial large subunit ribosomal RNA
Source: RNAcentral
GCAAGAUACCACGGGCGCACGGCGGAUGCCUUGGCACAGGGAGCCGAUGAAGGACGCGGCAAGCUGCGAUAAUCCCCGGCGAGGAGCACACAUCCUUCGACCCGGGGGUCUCCGAAUGGGCGAACCCAUGCACAGCAGUGUGCAUAUCCCCACCCCGAACACAUAGGGGCGGGGAGGACAACCCGGGGAACUGAAACAUCUAAGUACCCGGAGGAGAGGAAAUCAAUCUCGAGACUCCCCGAGUAGCGGCGAGCGAAAGGGGACCGAUGGCCAAACCGUCGAGCGGGCAUACCCGGCAGGGGUUCCGCCGACGGGGUUGCAGGGCCGCGCAUCCGGGGGCUGCCGCCCCCGGGCGCAGGUCCGGCUGGGGAGCGGAACGGCAUGGGAGGGCCGGCCGCAGCGGGUGACAGCCCCGUACGCGAACCCAGACCGGACGGCGCGACGCGGUCCCUGAGUAGGGCCGGGCACGUGAAACCCGGUCCGAACCUGGGUGGACCACCAUCCAAGCCUGAGUACUACCCUGUGACCGAUAGCGCACCAGUACCGUGAGGGAAAGGUGAAAAGCACCCCGGGAGGGGAGUGAAACAGUACCUGAAACCGUGCGCCCACGAGCAGUCGGAGCAACUUUCAGUUGUGACGGCGUGCCUUUUGUAGAAUGAGCCAGCGAGUCGCUGGCGCGGGGCGAGGUUAACCGAAAGGGAGCCGAAGCGAAAGCGAGCCUUAACAGGGCGACUUGAGUCCCGCGCCGCGGACGCGAAGCCGGGUGAGCUAUCCGUGGGCAGGCUGAAGCGGGGGUAAGACCCCGUGGAGGGCCGAACGCACGUCGGUUGAAAACGGCGGCGAUGACCUGCGGAUAGGGGUGAAAGGCCAAUCAAACCCGGAGAUAUCUCGUUCUCCCCGAAAUAGCUUUAGGGCUAGCGUCGCGCGUUCACCGCCGGAGGUAGAGCACCGGAUGGACGAGGGGGCUUCGCCGCCUACCGAAUCCAACCGAACUCCGAAUGCCGGCGGCCCAGAGCGCGGCAGUCAGAGCAUGUGGGCUAAGCUGUGUGCUCGAGAGGGAAACAGCCCGGACCGCCCGCUAAGGUCCCCAAGUUCCAGCCGAGUGGCAAAGGAUGUGCGUCCGCCCAGACAACCAGGAUGUUGGCUUAGAAGCAGCCAUCCAUUCAAAGAGUGCGUAACAGCUCACUGGUCGAGUGGACAUGCGCCGACAAUACACGGGGCUAAGCUGGACACCGAAGCGGCGGGAUUUUAAUUCAUUAGAAUCGGUAGGGGAGCUUCCCAUGGGCGGAGAAGCCGGAGGGCGACCGACGGUGGAGCGCAUGGGAGUGAGAAUGCUGGCAUGAGUAGCGAGAGACGAGAGAGUAACUCGUCCGCCGUGAACCCGAGGUUUCCUGGGCAAGGCUAAUCCUCCCAGGGUCAGUCGGGGGCUAAGGCGAGGCCGGGAGGCGUAGCCGACGCGCAGCAGGCAGACAUUCCUGCACCGCGCACGCGGCGCUACGACCGACGGGGCGACGGAUGGGGGUGGCUCGGCGGGGUUCUGGACGUCCCCGUGAUGGAGCGCGGCCCGCGGACCAGGGAAAUCCGGUCCGCAUUGAGGGCGAGGCUCCGGACGAAGCGACUGAGCGAAGCGAGUGAGCCCGAGGUCCCUAGAAAAACCCCUAGGCAGGCGCGUGCGCGCCCGUACCGCAAACCGACACAGGUGGGUGGGUAGAACAUACCGAGGCGAUCGGGUCAACCAUGGUCAAGGAACUCGGCACAAUGGCCCCGUAACUUCGGGAGAAGGGGUGCCCGCGCGUACGUGAACCGGCUUGCCCGGGGAGCGGAGGCGGGCCGCAGUGGAGAGGCCCAAGCGACUGUUUACCAAAAACACAGGACUCUGCAGAAGCCGCAAGGCGACGUAUAGGGUCUGACGCCUGCCCGGUGCCGGAAGGUCACGCGGAGGAGUUAGCGCAUCGCGCGAAGCCCCGAAGCCAAGCCCCGGUAAACGGCGGCCGUAACUAUAACGGUCCUAAGGUAGCGAAAUUCCUUGUCGGGUAAGUUCCGACCU